GAAAUCAGAAAGAAUGGCUCUUCCGCAUUAAGCCUUAAACCCUCAAUAAACCCGCCAAAAUACAGCUUAAUUGUUCAACUUAAUCUGUAGCGAGUACGCUGGCAGCAUUAACAUCAGCAUAUAAAUGCAGAGGAUCAAACCAAGAACCAUGAGGGUUUUGCGCCGAGGCACUUUCUCUCUCUCGAAACUAGUAGAGAGAGAGAGAGAGAGAGAGUGAUUUCUUCAAUCCUCUUCUCCAACACAGCAGAAGAAGAACGAGGCGCUCCCUCAGCUCCGUUCUCCGGCUCAUCGGCUCCACACAUUUUGGUGUAUAAAUAUUUGGAUGUGCAAGACAUGGAUAUCAUACAAGAAAUGCAAGAACUGAAAUUGGAAGGGAUGAUACCCUCUUGUCCUCGGGAUUUUCCUCCGGAAAUCGUCCACGAGAUCCUCAUUAGGCUACCUGCUAAGUCUCUGGUCAAAUGCACCUCAGUGUGCAAGACAUGGAGGUCCAUGAUCAUAAACCGAAGCUUUUUUAGCAACAUCUCACCCGAAGAGGCAAUCUUGCUGGCCAGAAUGGCACUCACCUCCUCCUGCUCCACAGGGUUUGUGGUAAGAAGAGAACCAUUCUCUCCAAAACGGGUUGCAAGGUAACAGACGAGGUUCACUCUCUGCAUUUUGAUAACCAGGCUUUUGACGAGGUUCAUUUCUUCGUGUAGUUGGAGUUUGUGACGGGCUGAUCUGUCUUGUGGAUGAUAUGUUCUGUUAUGCUUACAACUUCUUUAUAUGGAAUCCAUCCAUUAGGAAGUUAGUGACCCUUCCCAUGCCUGAUGUUACCUUUAGCACGCAUCGUGGAUAUGAUGCUUCUAUUGGCUUUGGUUUUGAUGCUAUUAACAACGACUAUAAGGUCGUGAGAAUUGCCACUCUUUUGGAGCAACAUGAGUUACCAACUUUAGGCAAGGUUAUUCCCUAGCCAAGGGUUCAUGAACCAGUCUUGGUUGCAUUUCUCCUGCAUGUCUGAUAGAUAAAGCUGCUCCCAAUGUUUUUGUUAAUGGGGCUCUUCAUUGGCCUGUGUGUCGGAACACAAAGGAUGAACGUAACUAUUUUGUAUUGAAAUUUGACUUGUGCUGAGGUGUUUCGUCGGAUGUCUUUGCCACACACUUUUAAAUGGAGGUUUGAGUUGGAAUUGCGAUUGACUGUUACAGGAGAUAAAAAAGCUGUUGCUCUGUUUAUCUUGGAUAUGGGGUCUGAAGAUUAUGCUCUUGAUAUAUGGGUAACGAAAGAGUACGGCAGAAAGGAUUCGUGGACCAAAUUGAUGACUCUCGGUCCACAAGGUCUGGAAAGAUUUUAGACAGUGUGGUGAAGUAUUGUUGUUGCCGAGCAAAGAAUCAAGUCACGAGUUGGCAUCACUGGACCUUGUGAGCAAAGAAGUUCGAAAUCUUGGGAUUUCCGGAUUUCAAUUUUGCUCGGCUCAUUUUCAUGAAGGGUGCCUCAUCUUACUGGACAAGACCAAUGCGGAGUCGUACUAAGAAAUAGAUAGAACAGGUAAUUUGAUUAUAGCAGUGCGAUCAGAACGUUGCAUGUUAUGAACAUUUUAUUUCUUUGUUUUCCGGAUUUUUAUGUUCAUCAACACUUUGAUUGGUGACUAUGUCGUUUUGAGUUUUUGACUAAUAUAAUAACUCGUGAUGAAUUUAAACAGUGGACUGAUGUCGUUGCUGCUACUGUAGUGAAGUUCGUUUAUUCAUAUUUCAUGGUUCUAAUUUCUGCGGUAAUAGAAUAUUAGAAUUGUGCGAUAGUUCAUGCGUUGAAUGCUUUUGCAGUUUGAAUUUCGAAAUGCUACCCAUAUGCUAAUCACAGGAUGUGAAUUGAAAACAAAAAACAAGUUCAAAUCCAAAUAACUAGUAUGCUAAAGAGCCAAAUACUGUAGAAAUAUAUACAACAUAAGAAAAAUAUGGACUAGUUCUUGUUAAACUAUCUAAGAAAUUACUAAAUUUCCUUACUCGAGUAAUUAGUGAUUUGCAAUUUGACCAAAACCAACCGUUAUACAUUGUAACGGGUGAUUAACGGCUCCACUCGUUACCAACCUAACCCGGUAUACUUCAACACAACUGCAAUUUUCUUGUGAGUUCGGGUCAUGUUAGCCGGUUGUGUUAUUGUAACGGCUCCGGUCGUUACCAACCUAAUCCGGUAUACUUCAAAACCACAUGUUUAUUGUAUGUACGUAUGGUAUGACAUGUCUUAAUUAA
Long non-coding RNA from Pyrus x bretschneideri (Chinese white pear), 2222 nucleotides. RefSeq lists it as uncharacterized. The record is from RefSeq and is a predicted model, not a curated record. The transcript is spliced from 2 exons. Lineage: Eukaryota; Viridiplantae; Streptophyta; Magnoliopsida; Rosales; Rosaceae.